UGACCUCAAAUCAGGUAGGACUACCCGCUGAACUUAAGCAUAUCAAUAAGCGGAGGAAAAGAAACUAACAAGGAUUCCCCUAGUAACUGCGAGUGAAGCGGGAAAAGCUCAAAUUUAAAAUCUGGCGGUCUUUUGGCUGUCCGAGUUGUAAUCUAGAGAAGUGUUAUCCGCGCUGGACCGUGUACAAGUCUCCUGGAAUGGAGCAUCAUAGAGGGUGAGAAUCCCGUCUUUGACAUGGACUGCCAGGGCUUUGUUGAUGCGCUCUCAAAGAGUCGAGUUGUUUGGGAAUGCAGCUCAAAAUGGGUGGUAAAUUCCAUCUAAAGCUAAAUAUUGGCGAGAGACCGAUAGCGACCAAGUACCGUGAGGGAAAGAUGAAAAGAACUUUGGAAAGAGAGUUAAACAGUACGUGAAAUUGCUGAAAGGGAAACGCUUGAAGUCAGUCGCGUUGUCCAGAGAUCAACCUUGCUUUUGCUUGGUGCACUUUCUGGUUCAAUGGUUCAGCAUCAAUUUUGACUAUUGGAAAAAGGUUGAGGGAAUGUGGCUUCUUUGGAUGUGUUAUAGCCCUUGGUUGUAUACAAUGGUUGGGAUUGAGGAACUCACC
This 601-nucleotide ribosomal RNA is filed under the name Cortinarius (Telamonia) sp. PK5345. RNAcentral's name for it is "eukaryotic LSU rRNA". It matches the Rfam family "Eukaryotic large subunit ribosomal RNA", at positions 1 to 599 of the family's 3401-position model. Lineage: Eukaryota; Fungi; Basidiomycota; Agaricomycetes; Agaricales; Cortinariaceae. The record is from RNAcentral.